RNAcentral lists this long non-coding RNA (351 nucleotides) under Phoenix dactylifera (date palm). Its description in RNAcentral is "long non-coding RNA (PDAC_LNC022321)". Lineage: Eukaryota; Viridiplantae; Streptophyta; Magnoliopsida; Arecales; Arecaceae. The record is from RNAcentral.
AUUACUCCAUUAGGAGCCCCAAAAGAGAGAUAAUGAGCCUCGAGGUACCGAAUCCACUUAGAACAAAUUUGUGUGUGUUUUUAAGAGUUUAUCUUUUUAUUUAUUUCCAUUAAUUUCUUUUACAUAUUUUUUUUCAUAUUUCUCCCCUUUUACAUAUUUUAUACAUAUUUCUCCCCCUUUUUGUCAUCAUAUCAAAAAGGAGGUAAUCACACACAAGCAAUGGCACAACCAAUCAUCAAAUGGCACAUAAUUGAAGAUAAAAUGUCUACUCAUUGUAUUGAUAUGAAUGUGAAUACAUUUGAGCAUACGAUAAGUAAAGCAAAACAAGACAAAAAACACAACUCAAACACA